GACGAACGCUGGCGGCGUGCUUAACACAUGCAAGUCGAACGGAAAGGCCCUGCUCUUGUGGGGUGCUCGAGUGGCGAACGGGUGAGUAACACGUGAGUAACCUGCCCUUGACUUUGGGAUAACUUCAGGAAACUGGGGCUAAUACCGGAUAGGAGCUCCUGCUGCAUGGUGGGGGUUGGAAAGUUUCGGCGGUUGGGGAUGGACUCGCGGGUUAUCAGCUUGUGGGUGGGGUAGUGGCUUACCAAGGCUUUGACGGGUAGCCGGCCUGAGAGGGUGACCGGCCACAUUGGGACUGAGAGACGGCCCAGACUCGUACGGGAGGCAGCAGUGGGGAGUAUUGCACAAUGGGCGGAAGCCUGAUGCGGCGGCGCCGCGUGCGGGAUGACGGCCUUCGGGUUGUAAACCGCUUUCGCCUGUGACGAAGCGUGAGUGACGGUAAUGGGUAAAGAAGCACCGGCUAACUACGUG
RNAcentral lists this ribosomal RNA (468 nucleotides) under uncultured bacterium. Its description in RNAcentral is "partial 16S ribosomal RNA". It matches the Rfam family "Bacterial small subunit ribosomal RNA", at positions 28 to 507 of the family's 1533-position model. The record is from RNAcentral.